Non-coding RNA from Saimiri boliviensis boliviensis (Bolivian squirrel monkey), 868 nucleotides. NCBI's taxonomy places the organism in Eukaryota, Metazoa, Chordata, Mammalia, Primates, Cebidae. The record is from RefSeq and is a predicted model, not a curated record.
CUGUUUCAGCCACAUCCUUUCAACGAAAUCAGCGGGGUCAUGACCAGAAAACAAGUCCUGCCAGCCUCCUACCUCAAAUCCAAUUAUAAUUUUCCUCAUGACAACCCACACAAAAGACAAAGAUAAGAAAAAGGACUCCUGGGAAGCUCUGGAUCAAUUACCAGUCAGAAGCACAUUCACAAGAUCCACAAUUUAAAGAACCAAUUUUUACAAUUUUUUUUCCUGUCAAUUGAAUUUGGGAAGGAAGGAACAAGCAAAAAUUGUUAUCUUCUUCUUUCGACAGCACACUACGGACAGAAAUCCAGGAGAGCUGACCUUGCCUUCUGCCCUCCACAUGCAGGAACUGCAGACACGGCAGAUAAGGCAGAACUGGAAUGCUUUGCUGCCAGCUGGACCUUUGACCCAAACUCCAGUGUGACUCUCUCCAAUGCUCACUCAACUGGAAUGCAUCCAUGAGGGAAAAAAUAACUGAUCAUUGGCAAAAAGCUGAGGAUGACAACCUGAGGGGAUGAAAGGCUGUCUUUUCGCCCCCUUCUGAGCUUUUCUGCUGGCUCCCAGCUGGGAGAAACCAGCACAAUGAAAGAUAAAGAAUACUGGAAAAGAGAGAGAGUGGGCAGAGCCACGACCUCAUCCUCCCAGUGGUUACUCUUGAGUCUGAUUUGACAAGAUGUCUUCUCAACCAGGUGACCCCCUGGGAACACAUCAGUAUGUCACCCCACGACCUCACUGAGUCCUCACAACAAAUCCAGGGUGUAGAUUGUUUUUCCUGUUUAGAGAUUACAAAUUGAAAUGCAGGAAGAUUAAAGAACUUGCCUGAGGUUGCUUCAGUAAUAAAAUAACCUGGAUUAGAACCCAGACCUUCCCAGCU